This 446-nucleotide ribosomal RNA is filed under the name uncultured prokaryote. RNAcentral describes it as "bacterial SSU rRNA". It matches the Rfam family "Bacterial small subunit ribosomal RNA", at positions 355 to 795 of the family's 1533-position model. The record is from RNAcentral.
UAACGAAUAUUGGGCAAUGGGCGAAAGCCUGACCCAGCAAUGCCGCGUGCAGGACGAAGUCCUUCGGGAUGUAAACUGCUGUCAGGGGUCCGCAAGCGAAGGGGUCCAACAGGCCCUGGAGUUGAGCAGCCCCAGAGGAAGCCUCGACUAACUCUGUGCCAGCAGCCGCGGUAAUACGGAGGAUCCAAGCGUUAUCCGGAUUUAUUGGGUUUAAAGGGUGCGCAGGCGGAUCAAUAAGUCAGGGGUGAAAAAUUUCAGCUUAACUGGAAUCGUGCCUUCGAUACUGUUAGUCGUGAGUAUUGUUGAUGUAGGUGGAAUGUGUCAUGUAGCGGUAAAAUGCUGAGAUGUGACACAGAACACCAAUCGCGAAGGCAGCUUACCAAGGAAUAGCUGACGCUCAUGCACGAAAGCGUGGGGUUCAAACAGGAUUAAAUGCCCGUGUAGGC